Molecule: long non-coding RNA, 1818 nt
Filed under: Oryza sativa (Asian cultivated rice)
Lineage: Eukaryota; Viridiplantae; Streptophyta; Magnoliopsida; Poales; Poaceae
Description: long non-coding RNA (OSAT_LNC000947)
Source: RNAcentral
CUCCGUCGCUCUCCUCUCUCUCCCUCUCUGACUCGUCGCUGCUCUAUCCCUCUCUAUCCCGGUGGCCGUCGCCGUUUCUCCUACUCUUUCCUGUUGCCGGUCGCUGUCCACCUCACCGGCAGCUGGAUCCACUCUCCCACAUCCUUUCUCUCCCGCCGCCUCUCUCUCUCUCUUGCCGCCACUCGUCGUCGCCGCCUCUCUCUCUCCCGUCACCGCUGACGGAGAACGACGCGCAGGGCUCGGUGGCCGACAGUAGGGGUGAAAACGGUACGGAAACGGAUGGAAACGACCUUUAACAUUUUCGUUUUCAUAUUUUUUCCGAAAUCGGAAUCGGAAACACCGGAAACGAAAAUGGAAACGAAUAGUAUCGAAACCGAAAACGGAGCGAAAACGAACCGGCGCGGAUACGAUAACGAAAAUUUAUCGGAAUACAAAAACCCCUCAAACUUUUGUCAAGUCCAAUUCUCAAGUCUCAACAGUCAACAAUUCAUCAUAAAACACAAUUAUAUCAAGACUAAUUGUUUAGUAUCAACAGCAAAAUAUAUUCUUCUAUAACUUCAUAUAAUUUGCAUAACAAAUAUUCUAAAAGAAUACAGCAAAACACAAUGGUAUAAGGUAUACACAAUUCAGGUGCUAUACUGCUAUCAGCCUAUCUCUCCAGGAAAUGGGUUUGAGAACAACAACAGAACAUCAGUCCAUCAAUACUUAGUUCAUCAAUCAUCACAGAACAGCAACUUCUACUCUUGCCACUGCACCCACAUUUGUGGUAGGAUCUCCUACAUUUGCAAGGGUUGGUUGUGAUGCUGGCAAAGCUACAAUGCCCGCAUUGCAUACACUUGCACUGCUGCUACUUGCAUUUGAUGAUUCCAUCACAAAUCUGCAGCAUAAAAGAAAUCAAAUCAAUGGUUUAGGCUCAAGACCACAGUCUGUCCUUAGCUGGACAUAGUAGCAUAUAUUAUUUUUCAGCUGCAUUUGUAUUAUUCCCCACAAACAAAGCAGUAUUUCUAUAAUUGGAGUGCUUGGCAAAUGGCAAUAGAGCAUAUUAAUAACUUCUACAAAAUUAACAGAACAAAAUAAAAUCCAGAAGCAAGAAGGCAUAAACAUAUAAAGAAAAUAAAACCUACACAGUAUUCAAGCUCCCUACACAGAAUGUAAUAUAACCAAGCUCCUUAGUACAAAGAAAAUAAAAGACAUCAAUCAUUCAACAUUCACUCAAAUAUAUAGAGCCUACACAGUAACACUAACACAGAGUGACAGAGGUGGAGGUUAAGGAAUGAGGAAUAACACCUGCUGGUUGCUCAGUUGCUGCCGCUGGGCUGCUGGCUACUGCGAGGCGAGGAGUCGUCGGCGUUGGUGGCGGUGAGGAAGAGUCGCCAGUGGGGCUUGAGGUGUCAUCGGUGGUGGUGGCUGUCGCGUCGUCGUCGGUGGUGGUGGCGGCGGUGAAACGGCGAGACGUGGCGGGACGGCGUCGUGAGAUAACGGGGACCGAGCAGGCCGGCGGAGGUGCGAGAUGGUGGCGGCGGCCAGCGGCGAAACGGCGAAGAGCGAGGGCGGCGCGAGAUGGUGGGGGCGAGGAUAGGACGGCGGACCAGGUGGCGAGCGGUGGCGCGGGCGGUGGGCGCGGGGGCGCGCGAUGCCGCGAUCUGGAUGCACCACAGCCGCCGCUCCGCCGCCGGCUCGCGUUUGCGUCUGUCUGUCUCUCUCCUCUCUAGGGUUAGCCGGUUAGAGACUUGAGUUAGGGUAGAUGCCGCGAUUUGGGUUGCGCUGGAAAGUUGGGGAUGAAUUAUGGACUAUUGAAUCUAUGGGCCUUUUUAACUU